This 253-nucleotide ribosomal RNA is filed under the name uncultured bacterium. Its description in RNAcentral is "partial 16S ribosomal RNA". It matches the Rfam family "Bacterial small subunit ribosomal RNA", at positions 524 to 776 of the family's 1533-position model. The record is from RNAcentral.
UACGUAGGGUGCAAGCGUUGUCCGGAAUUAUUGGGCGUAAAGAGCGCGUAGGCGGUCUGUCGGGUCGGCUGUGAAAUCCCGAGGCUCAACCUCGGGUCUGCAGUCGAUACGGGCAAACUGGAGUGUUGCAGGGGAGACUGGAAUUCCUGGUGUAGCGGUGAAAUGCGCAGAUAUCAGGAGGAACACCGGUGGCGAAGGCGGGUCUCUGGGCAACAACUGACGCUGAGGAGCGAAAGCGUGGGGAGCGAACAGG